This 227-nucleotide ribosomal RNA is filed under the name uncultured fungus. Its description in RNAcentral is "partial small subunit ribosomal RNA". The stretch from base 101 to 227 matches the Rfam family "Eukaryotic small subunit ribosomal RNA", at positions 736 to 864 of the family's 1831-position model. The record is from RNAcentral. Lineage: Eukaryota; Fungi.
GAUGAACCGGAGUGGCCCGUUUCCGAUUCCGGGGAUGAGUGCUGCUUUGAGUUUGUCAUCCUUCCAGAGAGCUGCGCCUACCGUUGAUUCGGCCGGGUGUUGGCGAUCUGGAUAAAUUACUUUGAAAAAAUUAGAGUGUUUAAAGCAGGCUUAUGCUGUGAAUACAUUAGCAUGGAAUAAUAAUUUAGGACUUCGGUUCUAUUUUAUUGGUUUCUAGGACUGAAGUA